UCCAAGCUAAGAAAAUCCCUAUUGUUUCCUCCCUGGCUGAUCCACUUGACACCCCUCCAGAUUCUAAAGAAGGAAUAGUGGUGGAGUCAAACCAUGACUCGCACAUGGCAAAAGAACGGGCCCACAGUACAGCCUCACAUUCUUCUUCCAAUUCUGAAGAUACAGAGAUGUGAUGAAAACAAGCGGCUAUUGCAGACGGCUAAUUUAUGCUUAACUUAGGAAGAGAUAAGGUUCCUUGAGCACCAAAGAUGAUUCAUAACUCUGUAUAGGUGACAGCUGCUUAUAAAAGCAUCUUAGCAGAUAAGCCUAUUAAAAUUGUGCUUUUGUAACAAUGUUGUGGUUGCUAGAAUAAAUACCAUUAACAAAUGCC
RNAcentral lists this long non-coding RNA (370 nucleotides) under Homo sapiens (human). RNAcentral describes it as "non-protein coding lnc-RNF115-1:1". The record is from RNAcentral. Lineage: Eukaryota; Metazoa; Chordata; Mammalia; Primates; Hominidae.